ACAAUGGAGAGUUUGAUCCUGGCUCAGGAUGAACGCUAGCGGCAGGCUUAAUACAUGCAAGUCGAGGGGCAGCACAGGUAGCAAUACCGGGUGGCGACCGGCAAACGGGUGCGGAACACGUACAGAACCUUCCUUUAAGUGGGGGAUAGCCCAGAGAAAUUUGGAUUAAUACCCCGUAACAUUGCUGAGUGGCAUCACUUAACAAUUAUAGAUUUAUCGCUUAGAGAUGGCUGUGCGGCUGAUUAGGUAGUUGGUGCGGGUAACGGCCCACCAAGCCUUCGAUCAGUAACUGGUGUGAGAGCACGACCAGUCACACGGGCACUGAGACACGGGCCCGACUCCUACGGGAGGCAGCAGUAAGGAAUAUUGGUCAAUGG
RNAcentral lists this ribosomal RNA (377 nucleotides) under Chitinophagaceae bacterium. RNAcentral's name for it is "bacterial SSU rRNA". It matches the Rfam family "Bacterial small subunit ribosomal RNA", at positions 1 to 374 of the family's 1533-position model. Lineage: Bacteria; Pseudomonadati; Bacteroidota; Chitinophagia; Chitinophagales; Chitinophagaceae. The record is from RNAcentral.